GAGUUUGAUCGUGGCUCAGAUUGAACGCUGGCGGCAUGCCUUACACAUGCAAGUCGAACGGCAGCAUGAUCUAGCUUGCUAGAUUGAUGGCGAGUGGCGAACGGGUGAGUAAUACAUCGGAACGUGCCCUGGUAGUGGGGAUAACUAGUCGAAAGAUUAGCUAAUACCGCAUACGACCUGAGGGUGAAAGUGGGGGACCGCAAGGCCUCAUGCUAUAGGAGCGGCCGAUGUCUGAUUAGCUA
Molecule: ribosomal RNA, 242 nt
Filed under: uncultured microorganism
Description: partial 16S ribosomal RNA
Rfam family: Bacterial small subunit ribosomal RNA
Source: RNAcentral